GGUGUAGCUCAGCUGGUUAGAGUAACGGAUUGUGGUUCCGAUGGUCGUGGGUUCGAAUCCCACCUC
This 66-nucleotide transfer RNA is filed under the name bovine gut metagenome. It matches the Rfam family "tRNA", at positions 5 to 66 of the family's 71-position model. From Rfam's summary of the family: Transfer RNA (tRNA) molecules are approximately 80 nucleotides in length. Their secondary structure includes four short double-helical elements and three loops (D, anti-codon, and T loops). Further hydrogen bonds mediate the characteristic L-shaped molecular structure. tRNAs have two regions of fundamental functional importance: the anti-codon, which is responsible for specific mRNA codon recognition, and the 3' end, to which the tRNAs corresponding amino acid is attached (by aminoacyl-tRNA synthetases). tRNAs cope with the degeneracy of the genetic code in two manners: having more than one tRNA (with a specific anti-codon) for a particular amino acid; and 'wobble' base-pairing, i.e. permitting non-standard base-pairing at the 3rd anti-codon position. The record is from RNAcentral.